CCCUUAGAUGUUCUGGGCCGCACGCGUGCUACACUGAGUGGAUCAGCGGGUCAGGUUGCGCGAAAGCGUUUCCUAAUCUUUAAAUCCGCUCGUGAUGGGGAUUGACGGUUGCAAUUUUCUGUCAUGAACGAGGAAUACCUUGUAAGCGCGGGUCAUCAUCCCGCGCUGAAUACGUCCCUGCCCUUUGUACACACCGCCCGUCGCUCCUACCGAUUGAGUGGCCCGGUGAGGCUUUGGGAUCUGAGCGGAAAGAGCGUUUCGCUGUUUCUACUCGGAAAACUCAGUCGAACCUUAUCAUUUAGAGGAAGGAGAAGUCGUAACA
This 322-nucleotide ribosomal RNA is filed under the name uncultured eukaryote. Its description in RNAcentral is "partial 18S ribosomal RNA". It matches the Rfam family "Eukaryotic small subunit ribosomal RNA", at positions 1470 to 1796 of the family's 1831-position model. The record is from RNAcentral.